Molecule: non-coding RNA, 91 nt
Organism: Pedobacter ginsenosidimutans
Lineage: Bacteria; Pseudomonadati; Bacteroidota; Sphingobacteriia; Sphingobacteriales; Sphingobacteriaceae
Source: Rfam
AUCUAAACCCGGUUGAAGCGAUAUCCUUUUGGCGCCAUGCUGAGCGGAGUCGAAGCACAGCCAAAAGAUUUAGCGAAAAACGGGACUAGCC